This 226-nucleotide unclassified non-coding RNA is filed under the name uncultured Cantharellales. Its description in RNAcentral is "sequence contains ITS2". The record is from RNAcentral. Lineage: Eukaryota; Fungi; Basidiomycota; Agaricomycetes; Cantharellales.
AGCUCUCAAGCGAUAAUAACUUUAUUGUUAUUAUUUAGCUUGGAUUUGGGAUCCUGCUGUGUUACAACGGCUGUCCCUAAAUGCAUUAGCCGGCUCUAAUGAAAGACUUGGUUCUUACUCGGUGUGAUAAUUAUCUUACGCUGAGGACAUUUCCUGUAAAAGGGAGAUGGCCAGGACUAUUAUUAGGCUGCUUCUAAUCGUCUCUUCUGACAAACUUUAUUCAAAU